GACGAACGCUGGCGGCGUGCUUAACACAUGCAAGUCGAACGGAAAGGCCCUGCUUGCAGGGUACUCGAGUGGCGAACGGGUGAGUAACACGUGGGUGAUCUGCCCUGCACUUCGGGAUAAGCCUGGGAAACUGGGUCUAAUACCGGAUAGGAGCCAUUUUUAGUGUGAUGGUUGGAAAGUUUUUUCGGUGUAGGGUGAGCUCGCGGCCUAUCAGCUUGUUGGUGGGGUAAUGGCCUACCAAGGCGGCGACGGGUAGCCGGCCUGAGAGGGGGGACGGCCACAUUGGGACUGAGAUACGGCCCAGACUCCUACGGGAGGCAGCAGUGGGGAAUAUUGCACAAUGGGCGCAAGCCUGAUGCAGCGACGCCGCGUGGGGGAUGACGGCCUUCGGGUUGUAAACUCCUUUCGCUAGGGACGAAGCUUUGUGUGACGGUACCUAGAUAAGAAGCACCGGCUAACUACGUG
RNAcentral lists this ribosomal RNA (465 nucleotides) under uncultured bacterium. RNAcentral describes it as "partial 16S ribosomal RNA". It matches the Rfam family "Bacterial small subunit ribosomal RNA", at positions 28 to 507 of the family's 1533-position model. The record is from RNAcentral.